Molecule: ribozyme, 64 nt
Filed under: unclassified sequences
Description: pistol ribozyme
Rfam family: Pistol ribozyme
Source: RNAcentral
AGUCGGUUGGGCGACUAUAAAGAGAUGAAUAAGCCCAACGCGUUUGCCAGAUGGCAAGGACAUA